This 496-nucleotide ribosomal RNA is filed under the name Salmonella enterica subsp. enterica serovar Stanley. RNAcentral describes it as "partial 23S ribosomal RNA". It matches the Rfam family "Bacterial large subunit ribosomal RNA", at positions 2259 to 2754 of the family's 2925-position model. Lineage: Bacteria; Pseudomonadati; Pseudomonadota; Gammaproteobacteria; Enterobacterales; Enterobacteriaceae. The record is from RNAcentral.
UGGUGGGUAGUUUGACUGGGGCGGUCUCCUCCUAAAGAGUAACGGAGGAGCACGAAGGUUGGCUAAUCCUGGUCGGACAUCAGGAGGUUAGUGCAAUGGCAUAAGCCAGCUUGACUGCGAGCGUGACGGCGCGAGCAGGUGCGAAAGCAGGUCAUAGUGAUCCGGUGGUUCUGAAUGGAAGGGCCAUCGCUCAACGGAUAAAAGGUACUCCGGGGAUAACAGGCUGAUACCGCCCAAGAGUUCAUAUCGACGGCGGUGUUUGGCACCUCGAUGUCGGCUCAUCACAUCCUGGGGCUGAAGUAGGUCCCAAGGGUAUGGCUGUUCGCCAUUUAAAGUGGUACGCGAGCUGGGUUUAGAACGUCGUGAGACAGUUCGGUCCCUAUCUGCCGUGGGCGCUGGAGAACUGAGGGGGGCUGCUCCUAGUACGAGAGGACCGGAGUGGACGCAUCACUGGUGUUCGGGUUGUCAUGCCAAUGGCACUGCCCGGUAGCUACAU